AGUGAACGCUGGCGGUAGGCCCAACACAUGCAAGUCGAACGGCAGCACAGUAAGAGCUUGCUCUUACGGGUGGCGAGUGGCGGACGGGUGAGGAAUACAUCGGAAUCUACUUUUUCGUGGGGGAUAACGUAGGGAAACUUACGCUAAUACCGCAUACGACCUACGGGUGGAAGCAGGGGAUCUUCGGACCUUGCGCGAUUGAAUGAGCCGAUGUCGGAUUAGCUAGUUGGCGGGGUAAAGGCCCACCAAGGCGACGAUCCGUAGCUGGUCUGAGAGGAUGAUCAGCCACACUGGAACUGAGACACGGUCCAGACUCCUACGGGAGGCAGCAGUGGGGAAUAUUGGACAAUGGGCGCAAGCCUGAUCCAGCCAUACCGCGUGGGUGAAGAAGGCCUUCGGGUUGUAAAGCCCUUUUGUUGGGAAAGAAAAGCAGCAGGUUAAUACCCCGCUGUUCUGACGGUACCCAAAGAAUAAGCACCGGCUAACUUCGUG
RNAcentral lists this ribosomal RNA (492 nucleotides) under uncultured bacterium. RNAcentral describes it as "partial 16S ribosomal RNA". It matches the Rfam family "Bacterial small subunit ribosomal RNA", at positions 29 to 507 of the family's 1533-position model. The record is from RNAcentral.